CGGUGGAGCAUGUGGUUUAAUUCGACGCAACGCGAAGAACCUUACCUGGGCUCGAAAUGUACAGGACAGCGGUAGAAAUACCGUCUCCCAGCAAUGGGUCUGUAUAUAGGUGCUGCAUGGCUGUCGUCAGCUCGUGUCGUGAGAUGUUGGGUUAAGUCCCGCAACGAGCGCAACCCUUAUCUCUAGUUGCUACCAUUUAGUUGAGCACUCUAGCGAAACCGCCUCGGAUAACGGGGAGGAAGGUGGGGAUGACGUCAAGUCCUCAUGGCCUUUAUGUCCAGGGCUACACACGUGCUACAAUGGCCGGUACAAACCGCUGCAACCCCGCGAGGGUGAGCUAAUCGGAAAAAGCCGGCCUCAGUUCGGAUUGGAGUCUGCAACUCGACUCCAUGAAGCUGGAAUCGCUAGUAAUCGUGGAUCAGCAUGCCAC
Molecule: ribosomal RNA, 430 nt
Filed under: uncultured Acidobacteriota bacterium
Lineage: Bacteria; Pseudomonadati; Acidobacteriota
Description: bacterial SSU rRNA
Rfam family: Bacterial small subunit ribosomal RNA
Source: RNAcentral